UAUAAUUUUGAGUGCUCCAGGGUUGGUGCAAUUUUUAUUUCUGGUUCUGUUUUAUUUGACCUUUAUAUCUCGCCACCAGCUCCACCCAAUCCUAGUCGGUUCGAGCUCUCAUUGGUCGAUGCCGAUGAAAACGAACUUCCGAGCAAUUCUCUCAUUCCGAACCACUCCAAAUUGCGAGUCAAUGAGAAAGCUCAAAGGGUUUCAUCGUUUGAAUUUCGAAAUUUCCGAAUCGUAAAAUUUAUUUGCUGAAUCGUGGAGGAUCACAAUCCAGGUUGACUAUCGGCCAGAUCAAAGUGGGCAAGGGACGAUGCAGCAGACGCCUCAGGAGGACGGCGUCACUGGAGCUACCCCUCUGCAAGUCAUUCCCUUGAGCAGCUCGUCUUAUAAAAAAGAUGAUUAUCCGCCUGCCGCUGUCUUUGCCAAUGCAAGGCAACUUCUUGCGGCCGCUCCGUCUUUUCCAAGUAAUAUGGAUGCAUCUCAUGAGAAGAUUAACGCAGCACAUAAGACGGUGAGCCGCCUCAUAGAGCUUGACUUAAGAAGCCUGCUGGCUGAGGAGGGACUUAGGGAAUGAAUUGCCAAUUUGGAUUAUCUGCGCUCUGUGGACUUCUUCCCUUCCCACCGCCUUUCAUCAUCGUGGUGCUUACUGCUCUGAGGCUUAAUGCACUCAUCUAGAGGCUGAGAAUCGUCUCUUUCCUGUGCUAUCAAGAAAUUUUCUUCUGGAGAUGAAGUGAAGUCCUUGCUGUCCUUGCUCCAUACGAAAUUGGUCCAGUCUCGCCUUCCUAGCUGUUUGAGGUAUAAGGAUCUUUACAAUCGGGAAACUUUUAUAUUCCUCAAUAGGCACAAGGAACGAAGCUUUCAGUGUAACAUUCCAUUCUCGAGGGAAGAGAACACACAAAUCUCCCCUUCUUUUGGCCUGCGGUAAUGGAAUGGAAAGUAUGAGUGAUUUUAAUA
Molecule: long non-coding RNA, 951 nt
Organism: Vitis riparia (riverbank grape)
Lineage: Eukaryota; Viridiplantae; Streptophyta; Magnoliopsida; Vitales; Vitaceae
Exons: 4
Source: RefSeq, a predicted model, not a curated record